AGAGUUUGAUCCUGGCUCAGGAUGAACGCUAGCUACAGGCUUAACACAUGCAAGUCGAGGGGCAGCAUUUUAGUUUGCUUGCAAACUAAAGAUGGCGACCGGCGCACGGGGUGAGUAACACGUAUCCAACCUGCCGAUAACUCGGGGAUAGCCUUUCGAAAGAAAGAUUAAUAUCCGAUGGUAUAUUAAAACCGCAUGGUUUUACUAUUAAAGAAUUUCGGUUAUCGAUGGGGAUGCGUUCCAUUAGUUUGUUGGCGGGGUAACGGCCCACCAAGACUACGAUGGAUAGGGGUUCUGAGAGGAAGGUCCCCCACAUUGGAACUGAGACACGGUCCAAACUCAUACGGGAAGCAGCA
This 356-nucleotide ribosomal RNA is filed under the name uncultured bacterium. Its description in RNAcentral is "bacterial SSU rRNA". It matches the Rfam family "Bacterial small subunit ribosomal RNA", at positions 8 to 353 of the family's 1533-position model. The record is from RNAcentral.